AUUGAACGCUGGCGGCAGGCCUAACACAUGCAAGUCGAGCGAGUGGCGGACGGGUGAGUAAUGUAUGGGGAACUGCCCGAUGGAGGGGGAUAACUACUGGAAACGGUGGCUAAUACCGCAUACUGUCGGAUGACCCCAGAUGGGAUUAGCUGGUAGGUAAGGUAACGGCUUACCUAGGCGACGAUCCCUAGCUGGUCUGAGAGGAUGACCAGCCACACGGGGACUGCGACACGGCCCAGACUCCUACGGGAGGCAGCAGUGGGGAAUAUUGCACAAUGGGCGCAAGCCUGAUGCAGCCAUGCCGCGUGUAUGAAGAAGGCCCUAGGGUUGUAAAGUACUUUCAGUCGGGAGGCGUUACCGACAGAAGAAGCACCGGCUAACUCCGUGCCAGCAGCCGCGGUAAUAC
This 406-nucleotide ribosomal RNA is filed under the name uncultured bacterium. Its description in RNAcentral is "partial 16S ribosomal RNA". It matches the Rfam family "Bacterial small subunit ribosomal RNA", at positions 30 to 526 of the family's 1533-position model. The record is from RNAcentral.